This 885-nucleotide non-coding RNA is filed under the name Pan troglodytes (chimpanzee). Lineage: Eukaryota; Metazoa; Chordata; Mammalia; Primates; Hominidae. The record is from RNAcentral.
CGCACAUAAGGUGUGACCUUUUCAUUCCCGUUGUUAUGGAGGGCCACAUCUGCCAGAGCCUGGAGUCUGCGAAGGCCGGGACCCGGUUCCCCGGCCCACCGUGGGGGGGGGUGUUGCAAAUUCGUGAAGAAUCAGCAUCAUGUUUGGCAGCUGAGUAUUGGAGCCAGGAGCCUGCCAUGAGGUUUUGAGAACAGAGUGCUGUUUUAGAGCUGGCAGCAGCAUCUCAGCCCAAGAGAAGGUUAUAUUCCCAGAGGAUGUCAGUCCCAAGGACCAGUAGCUGCCAUCAGUUUGGAUUCUGAAAACUAACCGGCAUCAACACUGGGUGUAGAAACAUGCUUGCCUUAUGUAUCAGAGGACAUGCUCAGCAGAUCCAAGAGAUAUAUUUGGCAACUUUUUCUAGAAAAGGCACAUUGGGUAUCAUUCAUUACAUUCUUGAGUUUUUUUGGUUUUUUUUUUUUUUUUUUUUUGAGACAGUCUUGCUGUAUUGCCCAGGCUGGAGUGUGGUGGCACAAUCACAGCUCAUUGCAUCCUCAAUCACCCAGGCCUAAGCAAUCCUCCCACCUUGUAGCUGGGACUAUAGCUCACAGCACACCUGGCUAAAAUUUUUUUUUUGUUAAGACGGAUUCUCUAUGUUGCCCAGGCUGGUCUCAGGCUCCUGGGCUCAGAUGGUCCUCCUGCCUCAGCUUCCAAAGGCACAGGCCAAGUUGUAGCUUUGUCCCUUGCCAUCAUGCCCAACAAGAGGUUCUAUACCUUUUAAUGAAUUGACUUUCAUAAAUUGGUUAUGUUGGUGGGCAAGUUCUUUAAGCUGGAAAUUGUAAAUUCCUCCUGAAAUGUUUUUUCAUGCAGUUACCAUGAACUAAUACUACAAUAAAGGAUGGUCUUGGG